UUACGGCCAUAUCACGCUGAAACACUGAUUCUCGUACGAUUAGCGAAGUUAAGCAUCGUCGAGGCUGGUUAGCACCUAGAUGGGUAACCGCUUGGGAAUGCCAAGUGUGGUAA
Non-coding RNA from Acanthosepion pharaonis, 113 nucleotides. The record is from the annotation of a GenBank genome assembly. Lineage: Eukaryota; Metazoa; Mollusca; Cephalopoda; Sepiida; Sepiidae.